UAGGAGCCCCGGGGGGCCGCAGAGAAAUGGCCCAGGCGACUGUUUAGCAAAAACACAGCACUAUGCAAACCUCUAAGGGGAAGUAUAUGGUGUGACGCCUGCCCAAUGCCAAAAGGUUAAAGGGAUAUGUCAGCUGCAAAGCGAAGCAUUGAACCUAAGCCCUGGUGAAUGGCCGCCGUAACUAUAACGGUGCUAAGGUAGCGAAAUUCCUUGUCGGGUAAGUUCCGACCUGCACGAAUGGUGUAACGAUCUGGGCACUGUCUCAACGAAAGACUCGGUGAAAUUGUAGUAGCAGUGAAGAUGCUGUUUACCCGCGAAAGGACGAAAAGACCCCGUGAACCUUUACUGUACUUUGGUAUUGAUUUUUGGUUUGUUAUGUGUAGGAUAGCCAGGAGACUAGGAACACUCUUCUUCAGGAGAGUGGGAGUCAACGUUGAAAUACUGGUCUUAACAAGCUGGGAAUCUAACAUUAUUCCAUGAAUCUGGAAGAUGGACAUUGCCAGACGGGCAGUUUUACUGGGGCGGUAUCCUCCUAAAAAGUAACGGAGGAGCCCAAAGCUUAUUUCAUCGUGGUUGGCAAUCACGAGUAGAGCGUAAAGGUAUAAGAUAGGUUGACUGCAAGACCAACAAGUCGAGCAGAGACGAAAGUCGGGCUUAGUGAUCCGGCGGUGGAAAGUGGAAUCGCCGUCGCUUAACGGAUAAAAGGUACUCCGGGGAUAACAGGCUGAUCGCCACCAAGAGUUCAUAUCGACGUGGCGGUUUGGCACCUCGAUGUCGGCUCAUCGCAUCCUGGGGCUGGAGAAGGUCCCAAGGGUUUGGCUGUUCGCCAAUUAAAGCGGUACGCGAGCUGGGUUCAAAACGUCGUGAGACAGUUUGGUCUCUAUCCUUCGUGGGCGCAGGAUACUUGAGAGGAGCUGUUCCUAGUACGAGAGGACCGGAAUGGACGAACCAAUGGUGUGUCGGUUGUUUUGCCAAGAGCAUAGCCGAGUAGCUACGUUCGGAAAGGAUAAGCAUUGAAAGCAUCUAAAUGCCA
RNAcentral lists this ribosomal RNA (1033 nucleotides) under Chlamydia trachomatis. RNAcentral describes it as "partial 23S ribosomal RNA". It matches the Rfam family "Bacterial large subunit ribosomal RNA", at positions 1761 to 2790 of the family's 2925-position model. The record is from RNAcentral. Lineage: Bacteria; Pseudomonadati; Chlamydiota; Chlamydiia; Chlamydiales; Chlamydiaceae.